UGUCCAAUAGCACCUUAGAGACCAACUAAGUUUGUUCUGGGUACAGUAUAAGCUUUUGUGUGCAUACACACUUGUUCUGAUGAAAGCUUAUACCCAGAACAAACUUAUUUAGUCUCUAAGGUGCUACUGGACA
Molecule: non-coding RNA, 133 nt
Organism: Podarcis lilfordi (Lilford's wall lizard)
Lineage: Eukaryota; Metazoa; Chordata; Lepidosauria; Squamata; Lacertidae
Source: the annotation of a GenBank genome assembly